This is a non-coding RNA of Potamilus streckersoni, 66 nucleotides long. The record is from the annotation of a GenBank genome assembly. NCBI's taxonomy places the organism in Eukaryota, Metazoa, Mollusca, Bivalvia, Unionida, Unionidae.
GGGCCUAGCGGUUAGAGCAUCCGCCUCGGAUGCGGAAGGUCGGGGGUUCAAUCGCCGGUCAAGUCA